UACGUAGGGGGCAAGCGUUGUUCGGAAUUACUGGGCGUAAAGGGCGCGUAGGCGGCAUGGCAAGUCGGGAGUGAAAGCCCGGGGCUCAACCCCGGAACGGCUUUCGAAACUGCCAAGCUAGAGUACGGAAGGGGCAACUGGAAUUCCCAGUGUAGCGGUGAAAUGCGUAGAUAUUGGGAAGAACACCGGAGGCGAAGGCGGGUUGCUGGGCCGAUACUGACGCUCAUGCACGAAAGCGUGGGGAGCAAACAGG
This 253-nucleotide ribosomal RNA is filed under the name uncultured bacterium. RNAcentral describes it as "partial 16S ribosomal RNA". It matches the Rfam family "Bacterial small subunit ribosomal RNA", at positions 524 to 776 of the family's 1533-position model. The record is from RNAcentral.